AUGGCGUACUCCUCCUGUUUGAAUCGGAGUUUGAAACUAAACAAACUUCUCCUCAGGAGGAUAGAUGGGGCGAUUCAGGUGAGAUCCCAUGUAGAUCUAACUUUCUAUUCACUCGUGGGAUCCGGGCGGUCCGGGGGGGCUAUCUCUCGAGCACAGGUUGAGGUUCGUCCUCAAUGGGAAAAUGGAGCACCUAACAACGCAUCUUCACAGACCAAGAACUACGAGAUCACCCCUUUCAUUCUGGGGUGA
RNAcentral lists this ribosomal RNA (249 nucleotides) under Triticum aestivum (bread wheat). RNAcentral describes it as "partial small subunit ribosomal RNA". The record is from RNAcentral. Lineage: Eukaryota; Viridiplantae; Streptophyta; Magnoliopsida; Poales; Poaceae.